This 2359-nucleotide ribosomal RNA is filed under the name Acyrthosiphon pisum (pea aphid). RNAcentral's name for it is "eukaryotic LSU rRNA". It matches the Rfam family "Eukaryotic large subunit ribosomal RNA", at positions 986 to 2913 of the family's 3401-position model. Lineage: Eukaryota; Metazoa; Arthropoda; Insecta; Hemiptera; Aphididae. The record is from RNAcentral.
CGCUCGUAACACGGAGGAUGUCUCAUACGGUAAAGCGAAUGAUUAGAGGACAUUGGGGCCGAAACGACCUCAACCUAUUCUCAAACUAUAAAUGAGUGAGAUCGCCGGCUUUACCUGGUACACCGCGUGAACCGCGUGCGAAGCCGGCGACGGAACCCUAGGCGCUUAGUGGGCCAUUUUUGGUAAGCAGAACUGGCGCUGCGGGAUGAACCGAACGCCGAGUUAAGGCGCCGAAAUCGACGCGUAUUCAGAGACCAUGAAAGGCGUUGGUUGCUGAUGACAGCAGGACGGUGGCCAUGGAAGUCGGAAUCCGCUAAGGAGUGUGUAACAACUCACCUGCCGAAGCAACUAGCUCUGAAAAUGGAUGGCGCUGGAGCGUCGUGCCUAUACUCGGCCGUCGACGGCAUAGUGGGGCCAGUCGUCGCUCGCGGCGGCCGGUCCCGGCAAGCCUCGACGAGUAGGAUGGCACGGCGGUGUGCGUCGAAGGGCAGGUCGCGAGACCGCCUGGAGCCGCCGUCGGUGCAGAUCUUGGUGGUAGUAGCAAAUACUCGAGAGGGGCCCUCGGGGGCUGCCGUGGAGAAGGGUUUCUUGUGAACAGCCGUUGUCCAAGAGUCAGUCGAUCCUAAGCCCGGGGAGAGAUCCUCGUACCACGGGCGAAGGCGUUUUCGAAUCGCCCUUGGGGCGAAAGGGAAUCCGGUUCGUAUUCCGGAACCCGACGCGGAACCGCUCCCUAGUGUUCGGGGCUCUUUUGUCUCGUCUGGGUAACCAGAAUGAACUCGAAGAAGCCGCCGGGGGAUCUGGGUAGAGUUCUCUUUUCUCUGUGAGCGUUGUACGUCCCUGGAAUCCUCUAGCCGGGCGAUAGGGACGCGAGCGCGAAGAGCACCGCUCGUUGCGGCGGUGUCCGUGAUCCCCACGCGGACCUUGAAAAUUCGAGAGAGGGCCACGCGGAGUCUUCGCGUCGGUUCGUACCGAUAUCCGCAGCAGGUCUCCGAGGUGAGCAGCCUCUAGCCGCAUAGAAUAAUGUAGGUAAGGGAAGUCGGCAAAAUCGAUCCGUAACUUCGGGAUAAGGAUUGGCUCUGAGGAGCGUGGCGGAUCGGGUUCGGGUCGUCGUAGAAGCGUAGGCGGUGCUGGCAACACCCCGGCCGUCGCCCGUGCGUCUGGUCUUCGGGACCGGGAGCCUCGUGGCGGUUGCGGGCUCUUCGCCAUCCGCCGAUCGUGGAACCACUGAGCUUUGGUUACUGGUCGCGUCGCGGCUGCGUAGCCGGAUCGACCGCCAUGUAUCGGUCAACUCAGAACUGGCACGGACUAGGGGAAUCCGACUGUCUAAUUAAAACAAAGCAUCGCGAUGGCCCGGGACGGGUGUUGACGCGAUGUGAUUUCUGCCCAGUGCUCUGAAUGUCAACGUGAAGAAAUUCAAGCAAGCGCGGGUAAACGGCAGGAGUAACUAUGACUCUUUCAAGGUAGCCAAAUGCCUCGUCAUCUAAUUAGUGACGCGCAUGAAUGGAUUAACGAGAUUCUCAUCUGUCCCUAUCUACUAUCUAGCGAAACCACAGCCAAGGGAACGGGCUUGGAAAAAUCAGCGGGGAAAGAAGACCCUGUUGAGCUUGACUCUAAUCUGACAUUGUUCGGAGACAUGCCGAGGUGUAGCAUAAGUGGGAGUCGGGGUUCUAGGCGGGUGGUUUCGGCCGUUCGUCUCCCCGUCGACCUUGAAAUACCACUACUCGCAUCGUUUCCCCACUUACUCGGUAGAGCGGAACGCCCGGUUCCGGCCACAGGUGCGUCCGGCUGUCGGUCGUCGUCCCGUCGCGUUGUCGGUUUGCCGUCGGUUCGUCCGGCGUGCUACUAGCACGCGGCGCGGUCGCCGUGCCGUCGGCUUGUGCCCGUUCGUGCCGGGCCGCGGUUGAUUUUCCGGUAGCGUUAAACACCAGCCGUGGGCUCCGGGCGUCAAACACGGACCGCGUACGGCCGGCCGUCAAAAGUCGCCGUCCGCGUUCGCGGCGUUUCCGCGAGCCCAAACUCUGGUGCGAUCCGUAUUCCGAGGACACCGCCAGGUGGGGAGUUUGACUGGGGCGGUACAUCUGUCAAAAAAUAACGCAGAUGUCCUAAGGCCAGCUCAGCGAGGACGGAAACCUCGCGUAGAGCAAAAGGGCAAAUGCUGGCUUGAUCCCGGACGCUCAGUACGCGUAGGGACUGCGAAAGCAUCGGCCACUCGAUCCUCUCGUCCGCUGAAGAGUUUUCAGCGAGAGGUGUCAGAAAAGUUACCACAGGGAUAACUGGGCUUGUGGCGGGCCAAGCGUUCAUAGCGACGUCGCUUUUUGAUCCUUCGAUGUCGGCUCUUCCUAUCAUUGCGAAGCAAAAU